CACCUUUUGUAGACCUGGAUAUCUCUCUGAAUGCUUGACAUUCAGGUUUGAGGAUUGACUUCUAUGUCUCUCUUUAUAUUUCCAGGCCUAUGUUUCUUCAUUAUACCCUAAUGUAUGUUAUAGAAUGUUAAUUAAUAGGCUUUUAUGCCGAUUAACCCAUUCCACNUU
This 168-nucleotide ribosomal RNA is filed under the name Phlegmacium cf. subolivascens. RNAcentral describes it as "Cortinarius cf. subolivascens partial 5.8S ribosomal RNA". Lineage: Eukaryota; Fungi; Basidiomycota; Agaricomycetes; Agaricales; Cortinariaceae. The record is from RNAcentral.